RNAcentral lists this ribosomal RNA (433 nucleotides) under uncultured bacterium. Its description in RNAcentral is "bacterial SSU rRNA". It matches the Rfam family "Bacterial small subunit ribosomal RNA", at positions 855 to 1290 of the family's 1533-position model. The record is from RNAcentral.
ACACAAUAAGUACUCCGCCUGGGAAGUACGAUCGCAAGAUUAAAACUCAAAGGAAUUGACGGGGGCCCGCACAAGCAGCGGAGCAUGUGGUUUAACUCGAAGCAACGCGAAGAACCUUACCUGGACUUGACAUCCCCUGCAUAGCCAAGAGAUUGGCGAAGCCCUUCGGGGCAGGGAGACAGGUGGUGCAUGGUUGUCGUCAGCUCGUGUCGUGAGAUGUUAGGUUAAGUCCUGCAACGAGCGCAACCCUUAUCAUUAGUUGCUACCAUUAAGUUGAGCACUCUAGUGAGACUGCCCGGGUUAACCGGGAGGAAGGUGGGGAUGACGUCAAAUCAUCAUGCCCCUUAUGUCCAGGGCUACACACGUGCUACAAUGGUGAGUACAACAAGAUGCAAUCCCGCGAGGGGGAGCCAAACUUAUAAAACUCAUCUCA